Molecule: long non-coding RNA, 1026 nt
Organism: Salvelinus fontinalis (brook trout)
Lineage: Eukaryota; Metazoa; Chordata; Actinopteri; Salmoniformes; Salmonidae
Exons: 3
Source: RefSeq, a predicted model, not a curated record
ACAGUGGGAAAACCAGCCUGGCAACAUAGUGCGUAUUAAUAAAAGGACACCACAUCCUGCCAAAUUCCAGCUGCGCUAAUUGUAUUGUGUUCACAGAGCUCACAAGCUAUCAGAAAGUUGUAUGGCAACCACCUCCGGCGCCAAAUAGAACUGGCAGACAUAGACAUUCAGUACAAGAAGAAAAAGAUGGAAAAUCUUGCACUGGAGUCCGAAAUAAGAGGACAAUUAGGAAACUGGACCUUGAAAUAAAAAAACUUGAGGGAGCUCCAAGAAGAUGACACAGCUCAAAAUAAAAAUUAGCAAUCAGUACAACCAAGUCAUCGUUAUAAGGCAUCGCCCUCUUUUGCCCACCCCCCCCAGCACCAGGUGUGGCCACUAGCCUAUAUGAAGGCCCAAAAUUGUGUGUUCCUUUCUGCUCUGACAAUGGCAUGCCCAUUCGUGCGAGAUGUGGUGGAUGAAGAAGCACUUGUGCUGAGGAGAGCCUUCAGGCGAGAAAGGGUCUUCAGGGACCGGUUGGACCCACUGGCCUUCCCUGAUGACCAUCUAUAUGAAAGAUACAGGUUUUCUGCAGAUGGCAUCAGGUAUCUAUGCAGACUACUGGGUCCCAGGAUUAAGCACCGCACUGCACGGAGCCAUGCACUGAGUGUGGAGCAAAUGGUUUGUGUGGCCUUGCGCUUUUUUGCUAGUGGAGCCUUCCUGUACUCAGUGGGGGAUGCAGAACAGCUGAACAAGGCCACAAUUUGCCGCACAAUAAGGAGUGUGUGUCUGGCUAUCAAAGCAUUAGCAGAUGUCUUCAUCUCCUUCCCUGCCCACAGAAGACUCUGUGACAUCAAAGAGGAGUUCUAUAGGAUUGCAGGUAAGAGGAUCUACAAAUUACAGGACAACUGUUAACACAUAGUAGGAUACUCAUUACUUUGUGUGACAGGUUUCCCCAAUGUCAUUGGUGCAGUGGACUGCACACACAUAAGGUUAAAAGCCCCCUCAGGUGCCCAUGAGGCCGAUUUUGUGAAUAGGAAAUCCUUUCAC